Molecule: transfer RNA, 72 nt
Filed under: Paludibacteraceae bacterium
Lineage: Bacteria; Pseudomonadati; Bacteroidota; Bacteroidia; Bacteroidales; Paludibacteraceae
Description: tRNA-Met
Rfam family: tRNA
About the family: Transfer RNA (tRNA) molecules are approximately 80 nucleotides in length. Their secondary structure includes four short double-helical elements and three loops (D, anti-codon, and T loops). Further hydrogen bonds mediate the characteristic L-shaped molecular structure. tRNAs have two regions of fundamental functional importance: the anti-codon, which is responsible for specific mRNA codon recognition, and the 3' end, to which the tRNAs corresponding amino acid is attached (by aminoacyl-tRNA synthetases). tRNAs cope with the degeneracy of the genetic code in two manners: having more than one tRNA (with a specific anti-codon) for a particular amino acid; and 'wobble' base-pairing, i.e. permitting non-standard base-pairing at the 3rd anti-codon position.
Source: RNAcentral
CGCGGAGUGGAGCUGUGGUAGCUCGUCGGGCUCAUAACCCGAAGGUCGUAGGUUCGAGUCCUGCCUCCGCAA